This 164-nucleotide ribosomal RNA is filed under the name uncultured bacterium. Its description in RNAcentral is "partial 16S rRNA". It matches the Rfam family "Bacterial small subunit ribosomal RNA", at positions 355 to 511 of the family's 1533-position model. The record is from RNAcentral.
UAGGGAAUCUUCCACAAUGGACGCAAGUCUGAUGGAGCAACGCCGCGUGAGUGUAGAAGGUUUUCGGAUCGUAAAGCUCUGUUGUUGGUGAAGAAGGAUAGAGGCAGUAACUGGUCUUUAUUUGACGGUAAUCAACCAGAAAGUCACGGCUAACUACGUGCCAA